AUACCAUGAUGAGGGCACUUCCUUAACAUCUCUUUGAAUCUCUCCCAUGCAUCAUACAACGAUUCCUUUUCAGUCUGGUAGAAAUUAUGAAUUUCCUCUCUUAACUU
Humulus lupulus (European hop) is the source of this 107-nucleotide small nucleolar RNA. The record is from RefSeq and is a predicted model, not a curated record. Lineage: Eukaryota; Viridiplantae; Streptophyta; Magnoliopsida; Rosales; Cannabaceae.